GACGAACGCUGGCGGCGUGCCUAAUACAUGCAAGUAGAACGCUGAAGGAGGAGCUUGCUUCUCUGGAUGAGUUGCGAACGGGUGAGUAACGCGUAGGUAACCUGCCUGGUAGCGGGGGAUAACUAUUGGAAACGAUAGCUAAUACCGCAUAAUAGUAGAUGUUGCAUGACAUUUGCUUAAAAGGUGCAAUUGCAUCACUACCAGAUGGACCUGCGUUGUAUUAGCUAGUUGGUGAGGUAACGGCUCACCAAGGCGACGAUACAUAGCCGACCUGAGAGGGUGAUCGGCCACACUGGGACGGAGACACGGCCCAGACUCCUACGGGAGGCAGCAGUAGGGAAUCUUCGGCAAUGGACGGAAGUCUGACCGAGCAACGCCGCGUGAGUGAAGAAGGUUUUCGGAUCGUAAAGCUCUGUUGUAAGAGAAGAACGAGUGUGAGAGUGGAAAGUUCACACUGUGACGGUAUCUUACCAGAAAGGGACGGCUAACUACGUG
RNAcentral lists this ribosomal RNA (495 nucleotides) under uncultured bacterium. RNAcentral's name for it is "partial 16S ribosomal RNA". It matches the Rfam family "Bacterial small subunit ribosomal RNA", at positions 28 to 507 of the family's 1533-position model. The record is from RNAcentral.